GCCAGGCGUGGUGGCGUGCACCUGUAAUCCCAGCUACUGGGGAGGCUGAGGCAGGAGGAUGGGUUGAACUCAGGAAGUCAAGGCUGCAGUGAGCUGUGAUUGCACCACUGCACUCCAGCCUGGGUGACAGACCAAGACCCUGUCUCAA
RNAcentral lists this signal recognition particle RNA (148 nucleotides) under Nomascus leucogenys (northern white-cheeked gibbon). RNAcentral's name for it is "Metazoan signal recognition particle RNA". It matches the Rfam family "Metazoan signal recognition particle RNA". From Rfam's summary of the family: The signal recognition particle (SRP) is a universally conserved ribonucleoprotein. Lineage: Eukaryota; Metazoa; Chordata; Mammalia; Primates; Hylobatidae. The record is from Rfam by way of RNAcentral.